Molecule: ribosomal RNA, 368 nt
Filed under: uncultured organism
Description: bacterial SSU rRNA
Rfam family: Bacterial small subunit ribosomal RNA
Source: RNAcentral
CGGAGGAUUCUAGCGUUGUCCGGAUUUAUUGGGUUUAAAGGGUGCGUAGGCGGAUGUCUAAGUCAGGGGUGAAAGCCGGCAGCUUAACUGUCGAAAUGCCUUUGAAACUGGACAUCUUGAAUAUAGUUGAGGUAGGCAGAAUGUGACAUGUAGCGGUGAAAUGCUUAGAUAUGUUACAGAACACCGAUUGCGAAGGCAGCUUACUAAGCUAUUAUUGACGCUGAGGCACGAAAGCGUGGGGACCAAACAGGAUUAGAUACCCUGGUAGUCCACGCCCUAAACGUUGCAUACUCGUUGUUGGCGAUAUACAGUCAGCGACUAAGCGAAAGCGUUAAGUAUGCCACCUGGGGAGUACGACCGCAAGGUUG